GGCGGCAUGGCCAAGCGGUAAGGC
Molecule: transfer RNA, 24 nt
Filed under: Acianthus exsertus
Lineage: Eukaryota; Viridiplantae; Streptophyta; Magnoliopsida; Asparagales; Orchidaceae
Also listed under: 11 other names
Description: transfer RNA-Cys
Source: RNAcentral